CGAGCAUCCUCACUAUCCGCCACAAGAGGGCGGUCAUCAAAAGCCAGUGAAAGGUCACGCUGCCCUCCGCAGACACCGGAAGAGGGUUUUCAUGGAGAAUGCACUCCUUGAAAUGGCUUCCUCUCACAAUCUAUCCAAGGACUUGCCAACCCAGAACCCUCUGGGCUUUCACGUGCUGGAGCCCCCAGUGGUAGAAGAAUUGAAGGGACUGUGGUGAUCAAGAACAAGCAUAGCUUGAUGAUGGCAUCUUGGAACUGCUGUCUCCUUGCUUCCUGGAACAUGAAGGAAAACAACUAUUAGAUGACGUCACAUUAGCCCAUGUUCUCUAACAUGUGGUUGAAUAUCAUCCAUAAAUGGUCUAUAUAAGUAUAGGGCCAAAGCUAGGAUGCUGUAAAACACAAGAUAUCCUGCCAUUCUGUACACCACUUAUAAAGAAAAAUAUUACCAAGUAUGCUAUAACAUAGCACGAAGACGGUCCCAUUAGACGUGUGCUAUUAGAUACCACUUUUCUUUGAAGUUUCUACUCCAAAGGCCUUUUCCAUUUCUGUGACUGUCCAUGUCAUUGUUGAGGAUGACACCAAGUUCUACAAUCUUUGCGACUAAACCCAAUCUACUUUCA
This is a long non-coding RNA of Mesocricetus auratus (golden hamster), 619 nucleotides long. RefSeq lists it as uncharacterized. The transcript has 3 exons. The record is from RefSeq and is a predicted model, not a curated record. Lineage: Eukaryota; Metazoa; Chordata; Mammalia; Rodentia; Cricetidae.